AUGAACGCUGGCGUCGUGCCUAAUACAUGCAAGUCGAGCGAACAGACGAGGAGCUUGCUCCUCUGACGUUAGCGGCGGACGGGUGAGUAACACGUGGAUAACCUACCUAUAAGACUGGGAUAACUUCGGGAAACCGGAGCUAAUACCGGAUAAUAUAUUGAACCGCAUGGUUCAAUAGUGAAAGACGGUUUUGCUGUCACUUAUAGAUGGAUCCGCGCCGCAUUAGCUAGUUGGUAAGGUAACGGCUUACCAAGGCAACGAUGCGUAGCCGACCUGAGAGGGUGAUCGGCCACACUGGAACUGAGACACGGUCCAGACUCCUACGGGAGGCAGCAGUAGGGAAUCUUCCGCAAUGGGCGAAAGCUUGACGGAGCAACGCCGCGUGAGUGAUGAAGGUCUUCGGAUCGUAAAACUCUGUUAUUAGGGAAGAACAAAUGUGUAAGUAACUAUGCACGUCUUGACGGUACCUAAUCAGAAAGCCACGGCUAACUACGUG
Molecule: ribosomal RNA, 496 nt
Filed under: uncultured bacterium
Lineage: Bacteria
Description: partial 16S ribosomal RNA
Rfam family: Bacterial small subunit ribosomal RNA
Source: RNAcentral